Gopherus flavomarginatus (Mexican gopher tortoise) is the source of this 1717-nucleotide long non-coding RNA. RefSeq lists it as uncharacterized. NCBI's taxonomy places the organism in Eukaryota, Metazoa, Chordata, Testudines, Testudinidae. The transcript is spliced from 3 exons. The record is from RefSeq and is a predicted model, not a curated record.
UGAGCCCCGGCAUCUCUAGGCUUGGCAGGUUGUAGCCCUGGUACCUCUGGGCUUGCUUCAUCAAUUAUGAAUGUAGAAAGAACUGCUGGAGCCCCGGAUCCUCUUUCAUUACACAUUAAGCACUGGACGUAUAUAUGAGCAGACCCAUUGAGCAUCAGGUGAAACCAGUGUGGGAAGUUUUAUGCAUCUUUGUCUUCUUCUCCCAGAACUGUGCAAAUAACCGAUUUUUAGGUUUACACCAAAAUAAAAUAAUUUUGGGUCAACCAAAAAUCUUAAAAUGUGUUUGUUAUGGGUUGAAUGGCAUAUAUUGUUUGACCCAGUAUCCUGUUUUCUGACAAUGCCAGGUGCUCCAGAGGGAAUGAACAGAACGGGCAAUCAUCAAGUGACCCAUCCUCUGUCACCCAUUCCCAGCUUCUGGCAAAAAAGAAACUAAGUGAGUUGCCCAAUGUCACACAGGAGAAGGGAUCUGAACUGAGGCCUUCAGAAUUCUAGGCUAACACACUAGCCACUGGGCUGUCCUUCCCCUGUGAAUGUGCACAGAACAACACCAGGACAGCAUCCCAUUCAAGUACUACCUAAGCAUGUAUUAUCCAGAAAAUUAUUAAUUCACUCCUCUCCGUGUUCCCAAAGGAAGAUUCCCCAGCAAUACAGCUCACUUAGGGAACCACCUUCACCAUUCAAAUUUCAACCAGAGAAACUAUUGCAUUAUUUCCUGUUUGUGUUUUGUGUUGUUUUAAACUAUUUCUACAAAGAAAGGGAGCAAGGAUCUCUCCAGAAAGCGAAAUUUGGACAUUAACUAAAUACAAAUUUUACUUACUUGGACAAACUAGGGCUUUUCUCCAUUCUGAAACCAAGCAAAUCAAACAAAGUUUCAAGAAAACCAGUAACCAAAUUAGAACUUCCACCACCGCAACAAGCUACCAAGGGAAGUGAUGGAUUCUCCACCUCUUGAUGUCUUCAGACCAAGACUGCAUGUCUUUCUGAAAGAUCUGCCGAACAGAGCAUUGGACUCAAUACCAGGGUAAUGGGUGAAAUACUCCGGCUUGUGUUAUGCAGGAGGUCAGACUAGAUGAUCUGAUGGUCCCUUCCAGCCUUAAAUCUGUGAAUGAAUUACAUUUGGAUUCAUGAUACAAGGGGCGGCUCCAGGCACCAGCACGCCAAGCGCGUGCUUGGGGUGGCAAAAUGCCUAGAGCUGCCCCUGUUUCUGGACUACAGUUUCUAACAAAGAAGGCCUUUGAACAAUGGACUGAGGACCCCAGUAUUUGGGAUGAACCAGAGACUUGUUGCAAGCUAGCAGAUUUAACAUCACUACUAUUAUCCUGAUCUACGACUCUGAAACGAACUGCAAUGUACCUCAGCUCUCUUCCUUUUGAAAAUUAUUAAUAAAGCUUUAGUUUUUAGUUACUGAAGAAUUGGCUAUCAGUGGGAAUUGGGAGGAAGAUCUGGAAGAACCUAAUAUGUGAUUUCUGGUUUUAAUAAUCAUGUAUCACAGAAGUCUGGUUUGUCUGGGUGGUGCAUGAGGGGCUAGAGGGCCUGAAGGGGACUGUGUGUGGCUUCAUAAGAACUAGUAUACUAAUUUGGGAGCACAUAUUUGUUACUGGCCUGGUAUAUUCUUUUCACCAGGAGUUAGGGGCACAUGCCCUGUUUUCUGGUAGUCUGACCUGAGACUGGAGUUCUUGCUGUGUCCCAUAUCAAGCAGUGUGACACAGACUAUUGC